GACGAACGCUGGCGGCGUGCUUAACACAUGCAAGUCGAGCGGUAAGGCCCUUUCGGGGGUACACGAGCGGCGAACGGGUGAGCACACGUGGGUGACCUGCCUUUAGCUCUGGGAUAAGCCUGGGAAACCGGGUCUAAUACCGGAUAUGACUCCGCGGCGCAUGUUGUGGGGUGGAAAGCCUUGUGCGGCUGGAGAUGGGCCCGCGGCCUAUCAGCUUGUUGGUGGGGUGAUGGCCUACCAAGGCGACGACGGGUAGCCGGCCUGAGAGGGCGACCGGCCACACUGGGACUGAGACACGGCCCAGACUCCUACGGGAGGCAGCAGUGGGGAAUCUUGCGCAAUGGGCGAAAGCCUGACGCAGCGACGCCGCGUGAGGGAUGACGGCCUCGG
Molecule: ribosomal RNA, 390 nt
Filed under: uncultured bacterium
Lineage: Bacteria
Description: bacterial SSU rRNA
Rfam family: Bacterial small subunit ribosomal RNA
Source: RNAcentral